AUACGGGGGGUGCGAGCGUUGUUCGGAAUCAUUGGGCGUAAAGAGCGUGUAGGCGGCUGGAUAAGUCAGAUGUGAAAGCCCUGGGCUUAACCCAGGAAGUGCAUUUGAAACUGUUCAGCUUGAGUAAGGGAGAGGAAAGUGGAAUUCCUGGUGUAGAGGUGAAAUUCGUAGAUAUCAGGAGGAACACCGGUGGCGAAGGCGACUUUCUGGCCCUAUACUGACGCUGAGGCGCGAAAGUGUGGGGAUC
RNAcentral lists this ribosomal RNA (247 nucleotides) under uncultured bacterium. Its description in RNAcentral is "partial 16S ribosomal RNA". It matches the Rfam family "Bacterial small subunit ribosomal RNA", at positions 523 to 769 of the family's 1533-position model. The record is from RNAcentral.